Molecule: ribosomal RNA, 253 nt
Filed under: uncultured bacterium
Lineage: Bacteria
Description: partial 16S ribosomal RNA
Rfam family: Bacterial small subunit ribosomal RNA
Source: RNAcentral
UACGGAGGGGCUAGCGUUGUUCGGAAUUACUGGGCGUAAAGCGCACGUAGGCGGCUUUGUAAGUUAGAGGUGAAAGCCCGGGGCUCAACUCCGGAAUUGCCUUUAAGACUGCAUCGCUAGAAUUGUGGAGAGGUAAGUGGAAUUCCGAGUGUAGAGGUGAAAUUCGUAGAUAUUCGGAAGAACACCAGUGGCGAAGGCGACUUACUGGACACAUAUUUGACGCUGAGGUGCAAAGCGUGGGGAGCAAACAGGG